Molecule: long non-coding RNA, 2700 nt
Filed under: Homo sapiens (human)
Lineage: Eukaryota; Metazoa; Chordata; Mammalia; Primates; Hominidae
Description: HSALNT0159360
Source: RNAcentral
GUACUAGGAACUAUUGUCACAUCUUUAUCUCUGCUUUUCAAAUCAGAGUAAGAUGGAGUAACGGACUAGAUUUAACCUCCCACUUGAAAUAACGAAAAAUCAGAAACUAUCUCUCAAGAAAAUGGACAUCGAGCAAUUAAGGACAAUGACAUGAGAAAUAAGACACAGAUGAGUCCUAUGAUUGCCUGACUCCCUGCUUCAUAACAGAUUCCAGUCAGGGAGGGAACAUCUGGAUAGAGCCCAUGGACAUCCUUGAUGUGAGGUGGAAGUGGAACAUUGAAGAAAUAAAUGUACCUGGAGUUUACAGAGCAGAAGACCAGAGAGGAGAGUGCUGCACAGAAACUCUGAAAAGCUGCAGAGGCGUCCCCACCACGUGUUCAGUGCACUAAGCAGCAUGUGCUUGUAAGGAAACUACCUGCAGCCAGGCAACGAAUCACUCAAACAAAAGGAAAGAAAGUGCCCAGAACUCACCGUGCCAGGAACAGUGUCUUGUCCUGGUCCCAACAGCCAGAGUGGAAAACCUCAUGAUCCAUGGGCAUUUGUAAAAGAACCAAGAAGAGCCUUGCCUCAGUAGUGGGGAAAAUUAACCAUAUACUAAAUGCUACUCUGUUCCUGCAUAACAAAGGUAAAAGACACGAAAAGAUCAAACUAUAAACAUGCUAACCACAUGCCAGAACAAAGCUCAAGAAUGUUUUUAGAAAUCCCAAAAUUAUGCAGGACCUAAAAAGGUAAAAUUCAGAAUGUAUGGCAUUCAAAAACAAAUUAUCAGAAAUUCAAGAAGCAGGAAGAUACAGUCAAAACUGACUGUAAAAUUAUGUAACAUGGGAGUCAAUUUUCAUGAUCUUGGAUCAAAUAGUUUCUUAGAUAUGACACCAAAGCAUAUGCAAUAAAAGAAAAAAAUAGACAAAUUUAACUUAAAACCUUUACGCUUCAAGACACCAUCAAGAAGGUGAAAAGACAAGUCUGAGAAAAUAUUUCCUAAUCAUGUCAGAUAAAGGACUGAUACCAGACUUUAACUCUUACAACUCAAUACAAAGGUCAAUAAUCCAGUUGAAAUGGGGGCAAAAGAUCAGAAUAGACAUUUCACUGAAGAAGUUACAUAAAUGGCCAAUAAGCACAUGAAAGAAAGCUCAACAUUAGUCAUUAGAGAAAUGCAAAUCAAAACUGCAGGGUACCACCAUACACUAGGAUGGCUAUACUAAAAAAGACGGAAGUGUUGGCUAAUAUGUGAAGGAACUGGAAUCUUUACAUAUUGCCGGAGAGAAUGUAAAAUGUAUUCAGUGUGGGAAUGUUUGGCAGUUCCUUGGAGUGUUAAAACAGAUUGACCAUAUGUUAUGAACUGAACGCUUCCUGUCAAAAUUCAUAUGUGGAAGCCCUAAAGCCAGUGUGGCUGUUAUCUAGAGAUGGACCUCUAGGGAAAUAAUUAAACCAUCAUAAGGCUGGAGACUUGAUCUGCCUAAGUGCUAGAAUUACAGGCUUGAGCCACUGUGCCCAGCCUAAUUUUUACUUUUUUUUUAAGCAGAGACAAGUUUUCACCAUGUUGGCCAGGUUGGUCUUGAACUCCUGAUCUCAGGUGAUCCAUCCGCCUCGGCCUCCCAAAGUGCUGGGAUUAUAGGCGUGAGCCACUAUGCCUGGCCUCCUGUUUAAGCUACCUAGUAUGUGUUAUUUUCUUAGGGCAGCCCAAGCCAACUAUAUGACUCCAAAAUUCUACCCCCCACAAGAAAUAAAACCCAACAGAAAGAUACGUAAAGACUUGUACUCAAAUUUUCAUAGCAUUAUUAUUUAAAAAGGAGAAGCAACCCAGAUGUCCAUCAGCUGGUGAGUGGAUAAAUAAAAUGUUGUAUGCCUGUACAAUUGAAUAUUGGUUGGCAAUAAAAAGGUAUGAAAUACUGAUAUAUGCCACAGUAUAGAUGUACCUUGAAAAGAUAAUGCGAAAUAAAAGCCAGGCACAAAAUAGCACAUGGUGUAUAAUUUCUUUUUUUUCUUUUUGAGACAGAGUCUCGCUCUGUCGCCCACACUGGAGUGCAGUGGUGUGAUCUCACUGCAAGCUCUGCCUCCUGGGUUCACGCCAUUCUGCCUCCGCUGCCCUAAUAGCUGGGACUACAGGUGCCCGCCACCACACCUGGCUAAUUUUUUGUGUUUUUAGUAGAGACGGGGUUUCACCGUGUUAGCCAGGAUGGUCUCGAUCUCUCUGACCACAUGAUCCACCCGCCUUGGCCUCCCAAAGUGCUGGGAUUACAGGCGUGAGCCACUGUGCCUGGCCAAUAGCUGGGACUACAGGCGCCCGCCACCACACCUGGCUAAUUUUUUGUGUUUUUAGUAGAGACGGGGUUUCACCGUGUUAGCCAGGAUGGUCUCGAUCUCUCUGACCUCAUGAUCCACCUGCCUUGGCCUCCCAAAGUGCUGGGAUUACAGGCGCGAGCCACUGUGCCUGGCCAUAUGAGUUCUCUUAUAUGAAGUGUCCAGAAAACACAAAUCUAUAGAGACAAACCAUAGAUUAGUUGCGGCCUAAGGCCGGGAAUAGUAAUGGGGAGUGACUGGAAAUAGACAUAAAGUUUCUUUUUUGGGUAACAAAAAAUGUUCCAAAAUUAGAUAGUGGGGAUGAUUGUACAAUUCUGUUAUACUAACAGUCGUGGAAUUGUUCACCUAUAAUGGAUGAAUUUAUGGUGUAUCAAUUAUACUUCAAUAAAGCUUAAAAAA